RNAcentral lists this ribosomal RNA (516 nucleotides) under uncultured bacterium. Its description in RNAcentral is "partial 16S ribosomal RNA". It matches the Rfam family "Bacterial small subunit ribosomal RNA", at positions 28 to 523 of the family's 1533-position model. The record is from RNAcentral.
GAUGAACGCUGGCGGCGUGCCUAAUACAUGCAAGUCGAGCGAAUGGAUUAAGAGCUUGCUCUUAUGAAGUUAGCGGCGGACGGGUGAGUAACACGUGGGUAACCUGCCCAUAAGACUGGGAUAACUCCGGGAAACCGGGGCUAAUACCGGAUAACAUUUUGAACCGCAUGGUUCGAAAUUGAAAGGCGGCUUCGGCUGUCACUUAUGGAUGGACCCGCGUCGCAUUAGCUAGUUGGUGAGGUAACGGCUCACCAAGGCAACGAAUGCGUAGCCGACCUGGGAGGGUGAUCGGCCACACUGGGACUGAGACACGGCCCAGACUCCUACGGGAGGCAGCAGUAGGGAAUCUUCCGCAAUGGACGAAAGUCUGACGGAGCAACGCCGCGUGAGUGAUGAAGGCUUUCGGGUCGUAAAACUCUGUUGUUAGGGAAGAACAAGUGCUAGUUGAAUAAGCUGGCACCUUGACGGUACCUAACCAGAAAGCCACGGCUAACUACGUGUCAGCCGCCGCUGUAA